Long non-coding RNA from Xiphophorus hellerii (green swordtail), 245 nucleotides. RefSeq lists it as uncharacterized. Lineage: Eukaryota; Metazoa; Chordata; Actinopteri; Cyprinodontiformes; Poeciliidae. The record is from RefSeq and is a predicted model, not a curated record. The transcript is spliced from 2 exons.
CCGCACUCGAACUUACCUGUCUGCCCUCCACCACAGAACCCUCAACUGGAUUUCGAGCCGCUCCUCCAUCAUCUCUCGUGGAACCAGGAUCUCUGUAAGGACCCACACUAGGAGACCAAAGCCUCAAACCUACAGUAUCAACCCUCCCGGAAGAACAAGUCCUCCACAACAAUGAACAGACGUCGCAGUGAGCCCGUUCCAGAACCCAUUUACCCAUUUGUUUGCAAUAAAUAUCAUUUUACUGA